UAGGUUGAAGCCAGUUGUUUAGGGUAAUUAGCUGUUAACUAAUUUUUCGUGGGUUAGUCUCCCACCGACCUAG
Molecule: transfer RNA, 73 nt
Filed under: Trinomys paratus
Lineage: Eukaryota; Metazoa; Chordata; Mammalia; Rodentia; Echimyidae
Description: tRNA-Asn
Source: RNAcentral